UACGAUCACCGAAGUUAAGCAACGCUGAGCCUGGUCAGUACCUCGAUGGAUGACCGCUUGGGAAUAUCAGGUACUGUAAG
Acanthosepion pharaonis is the source of this 80-nucleotide non-coding RNA. The record is from the annotation of a GenBank genome assembly. NCBI's taxonomy places the organism in Eukaryota, Metazoa, Mollusca, Cephalopoda, Sepiida, Sepiidae.